GAACACUUUCUAGCAAAGAUAGGCCAACUGCAAAGGAAGCAACAGUAAUCUACAGGGUUACAGACAGCUUAGGUCUUACACCUGAAGAGAAUGAACUGAAGAUUGGGAACAGGCCUGAAUGUUAUAGAAGGGAGUCUGAGAAGGGAAGCCAUUAGGCUACCUGAGCUAAAAGACCUGUGCCCCACAUUUACUUGGGAACGUCUUUCCAAGCCUUCAGAGAAGUGCUGGUCGGGGAUAAUUGAAGGAAGUAGCAAGAAGGAAAUGAUCUGGUGUGCUAUAAGGAUGGUUGUCAUUCAGGUAAGUUAUGUUUUAUGUAUGAGCAAUAGACUAAAUGAUUUAAGACUCCAGAAAAAAAGCAUGAGUGUUAGAUGUUUUCAAGUCUCCUGACAUGUAAAUUGAGAAGUAGUAGUAGUAUAGGAGAAAAUAAAACUUCAUCCUAUGACAAUGUAUUUUUAAAUGGUACUACGUGAAUUUAUAAAGAUUAUAGAGCCCCCUCGCACUAGAGUGGCCAUGCAGGUCUUGCAGACGUGGAAAAGCUGUGAUGUCUGAAUAUGGGUCUCCAAGCCUCGGCAAGAUAGACACCACAGCCUCAUUUCUGUAGAUGCCAUUGCUAGUGUAUUUUGCCAGAUAUUAAAGAGGAAAACCUCCUGGAGUGAGAACUGUACUUCCUACUGUCUCCUUAUAAACUGGCACUUAGAAACACCAUGUAUAAGGGCUGGGGCAGGGGCUCAGUGGUAGAGUACUUGCCUAGUAUGCCUAAGGCCCAGAACUGUAAAAAAGGAAAAUUGGUUGUAGAAGUCUGGAAACUGGGAGCCUCCAAAACCAGUUCUAGGGGAAGAAGUUUUUGACACUGAGUUUUCUACUUGAGGACCUUUGAAUGAUGGAAUGACGUGCCUCAUUUGGGAGCCCUGUGGGAGUAGCAUAUGCUUCUAGGAAGGUGAUCUUCUAGAGUCCUUUUUUAUCCUUAAUAGUGAAGUUGUAGGGAGGUGAGGAUGGUGCAGAGCGACCUUUCUCUCCAUCAUGUUGAUUUGUAGGACCAACUAGAGGUGAAGUGGAAAGGCCAUUGUCCAAUGUGGAGGUCUAGAUAGCUAGUAAGUAAGUAGCUCAUACACAUGCCCUAGUCUGAGAAAGCUACUCUUCCAGCAGUUGGUCUCAUGGUAGAUUCUGCCAUUGUUGGCCAUGGUGUUCUUACAAAAUCAUAGGCCUUAGGGCAGGGGACUAAUACUUAACAGCUGGACUUUUUCUGUUGUUUUGAGCAUGUAUGUACACUAGGGGCUUGUGGUGUUAGAACUAGUUUUUGACAUCCCUUUAGUAAAAUCACAGUUAAUCCCAAAUGCAGAGUCUUCAGAGGAUGGCACAUCUGAUUGAUAUAUUUUGCAGCCCCCAUCUCUCCCCUUGGGACCGUGUACCCCAGAGUUCCUGUUGAUACUUGAACUACCCCCGCUCCCAUCCCUAUGGGCUGAAGAUAUCCAGCCUGAGACCAAGUCCUAGAGAGAAAGGCCUGAGGGGGAGGACAGAGAUAGCUAUUCUAAGCAAGUUUGAGAGAGCGGCAGUGACCAAGUGUGCUUCCUAGAGGUUGAAAGCAAGUGAAAGCCAGGCCACUUCCUGGAAACUGGGUUGGUCUCUAGAAUCAGGUGCUGAGAGAAAAGCAGUCCUAACUAACAGGAACCUGAGAAUGCCAGCAUGAGGCACACGGAUGGGAGGGCUACAGGCACCUCUGGGCUGCACUAAGCAGCCCUCGCUUUGUAGAGCAGAGAAGUGUGUUCCAGAGCUGAGCAGGAGGCAGGCUCAAUUUGGAAGCCAUUGUUGCUCUUUCCAGUUGAGCAGUGGGCGGCUAAACUAACUUAAGACCUGUAACAACAAUCAGGCCAAUAUGUGGGACUCUGUUUUACUUCAGCUACUUUGUAAAUCUUCCUGAUGGGAGAAAACAUCACUACAGGACAGGAUUCAAUGGUUCCACUGAGCUCAAAUUCUGAGACAAGUUAAUGAUGGAGAAAAUCUGCUAAUUCCACUGUGACUAGAAAGACAGUUGUGUGUGUGUGUGUGUGUGUGUACAUGUGAUUACAUCUGCUAUGUGUAUGCAGUGUUCUCAUUUCAACUGGCAAAUACAUUUGCUUCCAAUUUCUCUCACACAAUGUAGAUAAAAAGUUUAAUUAUUAGCUGGUAACAUCUCCAGCUACUACAUUAAGAAAAAUAAUGUACACCAGUGUACAUGAUUCAAAAUUAUCCCAAUUUUGCACCCUUUGUAUAAGUUCUUCCUUGAUAAAAGAGAUUAGUUAGUCCUGGUUACUAACUACUUCCCUGGGCUGAAGAAACAUGCUCAGAUGUCCUAUGGUUAUAGGCAGAGCCAAAAUGUCAUUUUUUUAGUAGACCCUGGACCAAAAAACCCCACGCAGUUUUCUAAAAAAAUGUGUGUGUGUGUGUGUGUAUAAACAAUUUAAGGGAAAAUUCAUUUAUUUGCCAUUUCUUAUCUGCCAUGGGUCUUGUUUACCACUCGUUUCUUUGCAUGUGUCCACUUAGCCCAUGAGGAAGUAUGCCCAAAGGGGGUUAGUGUGCAGAGCCCAGCUCUGGAACUUCAAACCUGGGCCUUUCCCACUGAGCCACCUUCAUUCCUACUAUAAGAAAGAGUCCAAAUUACCCUUCAGAGAAAAGGACGCUUGUACGUUAUAACAAAUACAGACAGAAAAGAGUCUGACAAAUAAUGUUUAAAAAAAUAUUUUGUAGUGUGCAGUUAUUAAAGCACAGCCCAUUGUCAAUAAAGAUGUAUUAGUACAUUUAUUUUUUUAGUACUGAUUUAUUAUGACCUUUAACACUAUUGAUGAACAUCAUUAGCAUAAUUUCUUUAAUAAAGGGAAGUAAACAGCUGGUUUUCACUUGAAUUCUUCAGCUAAAUUAUUUCAUUAUUAUGCAUAAAAUUUCUAUUUAGGUUGAUUCAUGCCAAGAAUGUUCAUUUUAAAUAUCUACUCUUGAUGUGUCCUUUCCUCCCCCAUUCUCCCUGAUCUACUCCUGGCUAUGGAGUAAGAUAAUGCAAGUUUUCCCACGAGAGAGUUAUAUAAGUUUAGAAUAGCAGCUUUUGGAAUGAUAGAAAAGAAAACUCAAUGAUCUUAUUUUUUAAAUGGCAUGUAGAAUCACAUCCUUCUAUUCAUAUUAAAAUGCUUACCUGCAGUCAAAUUUUAUAAUUUUUAUUCAGAAGCAUUUAAAAUUUUCAUGUGUGUAUAGGUUUCACAGGGCAGCACCUAAAACUCCCUCAGCUUUCAUGUGUGGAAGAGAACAGCAG
RNAcentral lists this long non-coding RNA (3277 nucleotides) under Marmota monax (woodchuck). The record is from RNAcentral. Lineage: Eukaryota; Metazoa; Chordata; Mammalia; Rodentia; Sciuridae.